UAACGCGUAUGCAACCUACCUUUAACUGGAGGACAGCCCCGAGAAAUCGGGAUUAAUACUCUAUAAUAUUUUGAUACCGCAUGGUAUUAUAAUUAAAGCUCCGGCGGUUAAAGAUGGGCAUGCGUGACAUUAGUUUGUUGGUAAGGUAACGGCUUACCAAGACUUCGAUGUCUAGGGGUUCUGAGAGGAUUGUCCCCCACACUGGUACUGAGACACGGACCAGACUCC
This 228-nucleotide ribosomal RNA is filed under the name uncultured bacterium. RNAcentral describes it as "partial 16S ribosomal RNA". It matches the Rfam family "Bacterial small subunit ribosomal RNA", at positions 111 to 339 of the family's 1533-position model. The record is from RNAcentral.